AGAAAUAUGUCUGAUAAAAGAGUUACUUUGAUAGAGUAAACUAUAGAGGUUUAAGCCCUCUUAUUUCUA
RNAcentral lists this transfer RNA (69 nucleotides) under Sundamys annandalei (Annandale's rat). RNAcentral's name for it is "tRNA-Ile". The record is from RNAcentral. Lineage: Eukaryota; Metazoa; Chordata; Mammalia; Rodentia; Muridae.